CGACGGUGAAGCUCAGCGGAGCUUUGGCCGGCGGAGGAGGCUGGGAGGAGGUCUGGCGGAGCGGAGCAGAGAGUGCGGACCGCUGGGCAUAGCUAGCGGUGGUGUGCCGCUGAUGGAGAUCGGCGGAUGAGUUGCUCAGCGAACGUUCCGGCGGAGCCCCGGGACACCAGCGGGGGUUACUGAUGCUCCGGCAAGGUUGUGAGCACCUGGAGCUGGCAGAGGAUGAUGCUCGACGGUAGCUGGCGGUAUUGAUGCCGGUCUAGCUGAGAAGUCCGGCGGAGCCUUGGAGUGCAGCGGACCGGAGCUCAGCGGAGGCCUGGUUCGAUGGUUGGCCGCCAUGAUUGGAGCUCGGAAGCCGCUUGAUGGAAGGUCGGCGGUGCAAGGUCGGCGGUGAUCUACUGCCGGAGACGCUGAGGCGGGUCUGGAGAUCGGCGGAUGAUCCAAGUGUGGCGGAGACGCCGGGUAAAUCGUAGCACUUGGCCAGCGAGGGUGUUCGCCGGCGAAGGAGGUUGGGCGGUGGUUCCCCAGCGGAGCGGAGAGGAGAUCUCGUUCAGCGGGUAGUUUGCAGCUAUGAUGCAGUGGCGGUAAGUGACCGCUGACUGGUUCACUGAUCACCUUCAGGAUACUCAACUAAAACCGCUGGCGGUGCUUCUUGACGUUGAUAGCCAGCGGUGGCCCUUGGUCAGCGGCUCGUGUGGUCAGCGAGUAUGCGCGCAGUGGUGACCAACUUUGCACCCAGUGGAGCAUGCUCAGCGGGUAUGGCGGAGCGGGGGAGUUCGGCGGAUGAAGAAGUCCGGCGGUGGCCUCCUGUGGUGUUUGGAACUCAGCGGAGGACCUGGUUCGCAACGGUGGUUGUCGUCUGGCGGAAACCACGGAGCUCAGCGGGGAACUGGAGCUAGGUUGGGCGGAGCUAUUCCCGGAGGAGCACCGGAGCUGCAGAGCUCGGGGCUGGUGAGCGGAAGUCCCCGGCGUGGGCGACCGCAGUUUGGCGGAACUCGGAGUUGCCGAGCAGGAGCGCUGCUUGUGGCUGGCGGGAACUUUGAAAAUUGGAGGGGUGCCCAGAGAAGAUUUCUGGGUGUCCAGAGAAAAUUUGGCCGCCCAGUUUUUUUUUUUUUUUUGCAGUCAGCGUUGACUUUUGUGAGUUGGGCGUUGACCGACCCCGCCGAGCGUUGACUAACUCCGCCAGGCGUUGACUAAUUCCGCCGGGCGUUGACCGAGCUAUGUUGGGCGUUGACUUGCCCCGCCGGGCGUUGACCAAGCUAGCCCGGCGUUGACCGGCUCCGCUGGGCGUUGACCGGC
This 1299-nucleotide long non-coding RNA is filed under the name Rosa chinensis. RNAcentral describes it as "sRNA RchiOBHm_Chr7g0224741". The record is from RNAcentral. Lineage: Eukaryota; Viridiplantae; Streptophyta; Magnoliopsida; Rosales; Rosaceae.